This 604-nucleotide ribosomal RNA is filed under the name uncultured bacterium. RNAcentral's name for it is "bacterial SSU rRNA". It matches the Rfam family "Bacterial small subunit ribosomal RNA", at positions 88 to 727 of the family's 1533-position model. The record is from RNAcentral.
CGACAUAGUGGCAGACGGGUGAGUAACGCGUGGGAACGUGCCCUUCACUACGGAAUAGCUUCUGGAAACGGAAGGUAAUACCGUAUACGCCCUUCGGGGGAAAGAUUUAUCGGUGAAGGAUCGGCCCGCGUUAGAUUAGUUUGUUGGUGGGGUAAUGGCCUACCAAGACUACGAUCUAUAGCUGGUCUGAGAGGAUGAUCAGCCACACUGGGACUGAGACACGGCCCAGACUCCUACGGGAGGCAGCAGUGGGGAAUCUUGCACAAUGGGCGAAAGCCUGAUGCAGCCAUGCCGCGUGAAUGAUGAAGGCCUUAGGGUUGUAAAAUUCUUUCGCCAGGGAUGAUAACGACAGUACCUGGUAAAGAAGCCCCGGCUAACUUCGUGCCAGCAGCCGCGGUAAUACGAAGGGGGCUAGCGUUGUUCGGAAUUACUGGGCGUAAAGCGCGCGUAGGCGGGCUGUUAAGCCAGAUGUGAAAGCCCGGGGCUCAACUCCGGAACUGCAUUUGGAACUGGCAGCCUAGAGGCCAGGAGAGGUUAGUGGAAUACCGAGUGUAGAGGUGAAAUUCGUAGAUAUUCGGUGGAACACCAGUGGCGAAGGCGACUC